UGGGUUGUAGCCCAGUGGUAGGGCACUUACCUAGCAUGUGGGAGGCACUGAGUUUGAUCCCCAGCACCACAU
Molecule: transfer RNA, 72 nt
Filed under: Marmota marmota marmota (Alpine marmot)
Lineage: Eukaryota; Metazoa; Chordata; Mammalia; Rodentia; Sciuridae
Also listed under: 1 other name
Rfam family: tRNA
About the family: Transfer RNA (tRNA) molecules are approximately 80 nucleotides in length.
Source: Rfam by way of RNAcentral